UAGUCCACGCCGUAAACGAUGUUCACUCGCUGUUUGCGAUAUACUGCAAGUGGCCAAGCGAAAGCAUUAAGCGAACCACCUGGGGAGUACGUUGGCAACAAUGAAACUCAAAGGAAUUGACGGGGACCCGCACAAGCGGUGGAACAUGUGGUUUAAUUCGAUGAUACGCGAGGAACCUUACCUGGACUUAAAUGUACGUUGCAUAGAGUAGAGAUAUUCUUUUCUUCGGACUACGUACAAGGUGCUGCAUGGUUGUCGUCAGCUCGUGCCGUGAGGUGUCGGGUUAAGUCCCGCAACGAGCGCAACCCCUAUCUUUAGUUGCCAGCACAUAAUGGUGGGGACUCUAAAGAGACUGCCAGCGCAAGCUGCGAGGAAGGAGGGGACGACGUCAAGUCAUCAUGGCCCUUACGCCUAGGGCUACACACGUGCUACAAUGGUGCAUACAGAGAGUCGCGAUCCGGCAACGGUCAGCCAAUCUCACAAAGUGC
Molecule: ribosomal RNA, 488 nt
Filed under: uncultured bacterium
Lineage: Bacteria
Description: bacterial SSU rRNA
Rfam family: Bacterial small subunit ribosomal RNA
Source: RNAcentral